RNAcentral lists this transfer RNA (74 nucleotides) under Mus musculus (house mouse). Its description in RNAcentral is "tRNA-Ser". The record is from RNAcentral. Lineage: Eukaryota; Metazoa; Chordata; Mammalia; Rodentia; Muridae.
GGUAGAGAGAUAGCUCAGUGGUUAAGAGCACUGACUGCUCUUCCAGAGGCCCUGAGUUCAAUUCCCAGCAACCA